RNAcentral lists this ribosomal RNA (261 nucleotides) under uncultured Staphylococcus sp. Its description in RNAcentral is "partial 16S ribosomal RNA". It matches the Rfam family "Bacterial small subunit ribosomal RNA", at positions 524 to 783 of the family's 1533-position model. The record is from RNAcentral. Lineage: Bacteria; Bacillati; Bacillota; Bacilli; Caryophanales; Staphylococcaceae.
UACGUAGGUGGCAAGCGUUAUCCGGAAUUAUUGGGCGUAAAGCGCGCGUAGGCGGUUUUUUAAGUCUGAUGUGAAAGCCCACGGCUCAACCGUGGAGGGUCAUUGGAGACUGGAAAACUUGAGUGCAGAAGAGGAAAGUGGAAUUCCAUGUGUAGCGGUGAAAUGCGCAGAGAUAUGGAGGAACACCAGUGGCGAAGGCGACUUUCUGNGUCUGUAACUGACGCUGAUGUGCGAAAGCGUGGGGAUCAAACAGGAUUAGAU